This 72-nucleotide transfer RNA is filed under the name Bos taurus (domestic cattle). It matches the Rfam family "tRNA". From Rfam's summary of the family: Transfer RNA (tRNA) molecules are approximately 80 nucleotides in length. Their secondary structure includes four short double-helical elements and three loops (D, anti-codon, and T loops). Further hydrogen bonds mediate the characteristic L-shaped molecular structure. tRNAs have two regions of fundamental functional importance: the anti-codon, which is responsible for specific mRNA codon recognition, and the 3' end, to which the tRNAs corresponding amino acid is attached (by aminoacyl-tRNA synthetases). tRNAs cope with the degeneracy of the genetic code in two manners: having more than one tRNA (with a specific anti-codon) for a particular amino acid; and 'wobble' base-pairing, i.e. permitting non-standard base-pairing at the 3rd anti-codon position. RNAcentral also lists the same sequence under 5 other names. The record is from Rfam by way of RNAcentral. Lineage: Eukaryota; Metazoa; Chordata; Mammalia; Artiodactyla; Bovidae.
UCCCUGAUAGCUCAGUUGGUAAAGAAUCUGCCUGCAAUGCAGGAGACCCUGGUUUGAUUCCUGGGGUGGGAA